Molecule: ribosomal RNA, 465 nt
Filed under: uncultured bacterium
Lineage: Bacteria
Description: partial 16S ribosomal RNA
Rfam family: Bacterial small subunit ribosomal RNA
Source: RNAcentral
GAUGAACGCUGGCGGCGUGCUUAACACAUGCAAGUCGAACGGAAAGGCUCCUGCUUGCAGGGGUACUCGAGUGGCGAACGGGUGAGUAACACGUGGGUGAUCUGCCCUGCACUUCGGGAUAAGCCUGGGAAACUGGGUCUAAUACCGGAUAGGACCACAUUUUGGAUGGUGUGGUGGAAAGUUUUUCGGUGUGGGAUGAGCUCGCGGCCUAUCAGCUUGUUGGUGGGGUAAUGGCCUACCAAGGCGUCGACGGGUAGCCGGCCUGAGAGGGUGUACAGCCACAUUGGGACUGAGAUACGGCCCAGACUCCUACGGGAGGCAGCAGUGGGGAAUAUUGCACAAUGGGCGCAAGCCUGAUGCAGCGACGCCGCGUGGGGGAUGACGGCCUUCGGGUUGUAAACUCCUUUCGCUAGGGACGAAGCGCAAGUGACGGUACCUGGAGAAGAAGCACCGGCUAACUACGUG